CUGAUUUUCCCGUUGGGCUCUAUCAGCAUGUCCACUGUGAGGCUUGCCUCCACUUUUUCCAGUGCCCACAUUUACCUCUCAGAGUGCAUCAACAAUCGUCAGGACGUUGGAAGGUUCCAAGACAUCUGCAGAAAGCAUGGGGCUCCACCAGCCUGGCCGAUGCACCCCAGAGAUUCUUGUCUACCAAAUGCUUUCUGACAUCCCUACAUGAAGGACUGGAGAGUGAAAAGGGCAAGACAAUGACCUGAAAAAGUAAGCAAGACUGUCAGUGUUGAAAGGAGCCAUGUGGACUAUCUAGGACAAAUGCCUCAUGUCACAAAAGAGGGAACGAGGGCUUCUCCAGUCACACUGGGAGGCCGCAGGUGCUCUCUGGCUGCCUCUGACUCCUGGACCAUGCUUGUGAAAAUACCAGGACGGUAAAUUAGUGAAUUCCAAAGUCAGGAUUUUUGUUGGAUCUGGCACAGUCACAGGAAAGUCUGAGUUUUCUCAAGGGCAUCCCUGUCUCACCGAGGGGCACCAAGGACAGACGACCAGAAGCAAAUGGCGCAGUCACCGUCAGAGGAGAGUAAAACUCAUUCUGAAACGGUUCCAAAUGCCCAUGCCUGCUCUGUGGUUUUCAGCAAAGCGGACCUUUCCAAAAGACCUCCAACAGGGACUUCCUGGAUGUGAGAACACUAACCAAUUCUCGUUCCUCUCAUCUUUUGCUUUAUUCCUUCCUUCCAUGCUGUUAUUGCGAAAAACUGGUAGUUAAAUUCAAUUGAUUCAAAAUAUUCGGGAUCCAUAUGGCCGCCAACCCUGGAGCUGAAGCGGCGAUAGCGCCUCACUGCUGUUUUCAAGCAUUUGCCUCUCCUCCAGUCCCCAGAUGGUGGGAGUAACAUUUAAACCUCCUUUUCUCUGCCUUGUACAAUAGACCUUGGCACCAUUUCAACUGUUUACUCCGGUAAUUAACAGCUCUGAUACCACAACAAUUACAACUCCUACACUCUCACCACAAUAAUGCUAUGAAUUAGUGAGAGCUAAUGGCUGGAAGGUAGAGUGUUUCCAGACUGUGGGAUCUGUGCAUUUUUAGAAUAAAAUAAAAGGUACAAACAGCACGCUUGCAGUAGACAAUGAUUACCUAGUAAUUAGUUUACACAAAGCUUCCUAUUUAAUGGCAAAACGCUGUAAUUAACGUGUGACAGAAAAUCAAAGGGUACUUUGUAAGCAUAUUAAAAAUUAACACUGCAGGCCCAUAGCUUUAUGUACUGAUUAGAAGCAUAUUAAAUCAAUAGGACACACAAACCAACAGCUUGGGUAGCUGAUUAUUAUAGGUCCUCAGAAGGGGUACCCUGGCUUUCAUUUCACUUGGGGAGGCAAUUUUCCUUCUCCUGUCAUCUUCCUCAGGCACAGAGAAACACCUCAAACUCAACCCUGGCAGCUUCAUGAAAAUAACCACUGAACUGGAAGAAAACAUUCUAAGUCAUUCUCAGAGAUGAAGACAAAUAUGUAAAUGAUUAAGACUUUCCAAUGAUUGUGGUGACGUGCUGCUACACUAAUUAGAAAAUACACCAACUGGAACCAGAAAAUAAAGCCACUGGGUUGCAAUCUUCCGGUCAGAAUAAUCUCUACUUUGUCAAGCCUCUUUAUUCAACUCAUAGAAAGUUCAAAUAAAUGGAACUGUUUUAUAUUUCUAAAUGAUAAGAAAGCAGGCUGCUAUGAAGACUUAUUCUUUCCAAGGCACUGUCUGGGUAAAGCAUAGGCUGGGAACAACUGGAUCAACCAACAUUCUGUAUCUUCAACAGCCACAACCCCAUAUAAUGAUGGCUGAUGGACAUAGACAGCAAUAUCCUGGAAGCCUACCAGAGCCUAAAGAACCUUCUGAAUCACCAAAGAAAGAUUAAGUUGUAUGUACUUGUUCAAUGUUACCUGUAUUUUGUUAUAAUACAAUUUUAUGGUAAUAAUAACAACAAUAAUAAUAGGUAGCAUUUCUUAAAGUCUUAUUAUGUGCUAAGCACACUGCUAGCCAAUUCAUAGAAUUAUCUCAUUUACUUGUCACCACUUCCCCAUGAGACAGGUACUAAUCUCUCUUUACAGAUAGAGAAAGGGAGACUUGGAGAGCUGAAGUAAUUUGCCUAUAGUUAUCCCCCAGGGAGCAUGGGAGUCUAACCUAGGUGUCCCUGGCUAUGGAACCCCAGGAAGCCAAACUACCUCUUAGUUACCCUGAAUGACUAGCCUGUUCCAACACUCAUUCUGCUUAAAAGGCAGUUUACUAUGUCAACCUGGAAUAGGAGACUAAAAAAAUUAAAACAAAAACAAAAUAUUUGGUUGCUUAUUUUUUUAAAAAACAGGGUGUUUCUGCUUUUAGAGAUAGGAGUCUUGUUCUGUCACCCAGGCUGGAGAGUGGUGGUGCAGUCAUGACUCAUUGCAGCCUCAAACUCCUGGGCUCGAGUGAUCCUCUUUCUUCAGGCUCCUAAGUAGCUGGAACUACAGGCACACACCUAAUUUUUAAAUUUUUUGUAGAGAUAGGGUCUCACUAUAUUGCCCAGGCUGGUCUUGAACUCCUGGCCUCAAGCCAACUCCCACCUCAGCCUUCCAAAGUGUUGGGAUUACAAAAUAUUACAGGAGUGAUCGACUGCACUGGGCUAAAAACAAGGGUUUUAAAUGCUUACCAUAUUUUUAAUGCUACAUCUGAUUGUGAAGGUGGGCUACUCAAAGCUUUUUGGGAAUUUACAGGCUCACUAAAAUGAUCACGAUAGUGUAUUAAAUUGAGAAAGGCAUUGAAAAUCUGUCAUUCCCAUGAACAACCAAAGGGUGAUGUCUAAAAUUCUCUCUCAUCACCCAUGCACAUAACCAGGUAUAUGAGGCAGUUGGGUUGCAAGAGCUGAAUCCUAGAAACUCCUAGGCAGGGCUCCUCCUCUCCAGCUCUGAGGUGUGUGUAUUGAUGGCCCCCUACACCUCCCAGUUUGCUGCCUUGUGGGAAAAGGAGACCAGCUCUUCUGUUAUCUAGGAAAGGGAAGAAAUUUGAGAGCAGUGGCCUCUGUGUUCCAGGAAUAUUUGCGUUUCCCACAAAUCUCUGGAAAGCAGAAAGCUUGCCACAAGGGCAGCACACGGUAUGAGUCACAAAGGCAAGGACCUGAGGGAGAACACUUCCCAGGACUUUCAAAUAAGGUCUUUCCUAAAUGUACUUGGCUCAGUGUGGCAAAAGCACUGGGCUAGCAGCAGUCAGAUGUGGGUUCAAAGCAAGGCACAAUCAUUUAUUAGCUAUAAAUUUGGGCAAGUCACUUCUUGAGAAUAAGUUUCUUCAUCUGUAAACAGAAGUAAUACCUUCCUUAUAUCUUAAAUUGGUGUGGAAGUAAAUGAGUAAAAACCUCAGGGUUUUUCUGAGUUUAAAUGAGACAAUUCAUGUAACGUGCUUAGCACAAUACCUGGUACCCAGUAGGUACUCUGCAGUAUUUAUUGAUGAUGAUGAUGAUGAUGAUGAUGAUGAUGAUGAUGACAAAGAAAUACAAGGAAAUGUCAACACCUUAACAGUGCAUUCAUAGAUCUACAAAAUGCUUAAUCUCAGUGUUCUGGCAACCACUAAAUACAUAAAGAUAAUCUAAGACAUCAAGAUUUCAACAUAUAAAAAUAAAUAUAAAAACAAGUGAACAAUAAUCAUUUAUAUGUAGUUUCAUGACUGGAAAAAAUAAUAACCUAGAUUUUUUCUUAACCUAGAAAAUCUAGAUUAAAAAAUAAAGAUCUUGCAUUUUUGAUAUAAAACACAAAUAAUAAGGACAUGAAAAAAGAAUAUCCCUUGCUAGUAAUCAAAUAAUAGCAAUGAGAAGCUGGAUUCUUAUAUCUAAAAUAAAAGUGCAAAUAGUUCAUAAUAUCCAUUGGUGGUAAGGUUGUGGUAAAACUAGUAUUCUUAUUCUCUGCCAGUUGCUUUGGAAAUUGGUACUAUCUUUUUAGGAAUAUGGCAAUAUGUAACAAAAGCCAUAAAAUAUUCUACUCCUGGGUCUUUCUCCUCGGGAAGUAACUCAACAGAAGCAAAAAGAGGUGUAUACAAAAACCAAAUAUAAAAACAAACAAAUCUUUCCUCCCUCUUUCCUCCCACUGCCAAAAAAUGAAAGCUGGGAAUAGCCUAAAUUUCCAACUUAGUUGAAUUGUUCAAUAUAUUAGAGUUCAUCAAUAUGAGAGAAUAUUAUGCAUCUAAUAAUUGUGACGACUAUGUAUAAACAUGGAAAAUAUUUAAGAUCUGAUGUUUAACUAGCAUAUACACUAUUAUUGUAGCUAUGAGAAAGAAAUACUGCAUAUUUAGAAAUUAAUAUACAAAAAUGAAAACAACUAUGUUUGGGGACAGUGAUUAUGUACUUUUAAAUUUUUUUUAAUCUUGUUAUCUUUAAACUUUUCUAAAAAUGAUGUGAUUACAAGCAAUGGCUCUUUGGGAUCACCUAAUAAAUACCUACUAAAUUCUAGACGGGACAACGAGCUCUGCCAUCCUGCAAUGGCUCCUGUGACCUAGUUCCAGGGCCAUUCUGAAUGGACAGAGGUCUUCACAAUGGAGGUGGAGAUGCAGGGAGCUCUAUGGCAUGAAAUGGUUAAUGAUUCUCUUUUGUAAUUGUGUUUUCUGUUUGCUGCCUUAGUUCUAAAAGGAGGCAAAACAACUGUGGUUUAUUCUACCUUUUCCAGGCAUAGUUCUUCUCCUACCUUUGUGAUCCCCAAAUUAAUAUCAAAUGUCUAAUUAGUUUUUUUCUCCAUUGGUGAUCCCCAAAUUAAUAUCAAAUGUCAGACAAAGUAAAUCAAAGUACAAAUAAAGGUAAAACUGCUCUUGCAAAGGGCUAAAAUAGCAAUGUUUACUAGAAGCAUUCAAGAGCCAGUUCAAUUUCCUAUUUCUCAUUAAGUGGUAAAAUAGUAAUGCCAAGACCACAUCCCAGAAUCUCCAGGGUAACAGAGGCCCAACGAAGGGCUGCAGAGAAACUUGAAAGUAAACUGGCUUAGUUCUUUACACACAGAAAUUGUUCUACAAAGAUCUCUUGCAAAGCAGUGUCACCAGUAGCAUCACUGCCACUAAGCCAAUGUCCCAGGAAUUGAGGAAAGGAAGACACCCUUAAAGAAAAAAAUGGAAAAAAGCCACAAGGACUGGUACCACAGUAAAUGUCUGCCUGGGUCUCCCUAAACUGUCUUAGGUGAGCUUACCCAGGAAUGUUUCUCCCCUACAUGUUUGCCUUCCUUUGUUUAAGCCUUUAUUCCUCCUAAAUGAAAAUAAAUACCCCCGAC
Molecule: long non-coding RNA, 5235 nt
Filed under: Homo sapiens (human)
Lineage: Eukaryota; Metazoa; Chordata; Mammalia; Primates; Hominidae
Description: non-protein coding IQCH-AS1:13
Source: RNAcentral